UCGCGAGAAGUCCACUGAACCUUAUCAUUUAGAGGAAGGAGAAGUCGUAACAAGGUUUCCGUAGGUGAACCUGCGGAAGGAUCAUUGUCGAUGCCUGCAAAGCAGAACGACCCGCGAACCGUUUCUCAACGCCCGGGACACCGGGGGGCGUCUAGCCGCCCGGUAUCCCGACGCUUCGGACGCRGGGGGUGCGAGCCACCCCCCAGCGGAUGGAGCAUCAAACACACCCCGGCGUGCAAAGCGCCAAGGUACUCCAACUGUAGGGCAAGCACCCGUAGGCCUGGACUCCAGCGCGAUCGGGUGUCUGUUCGGUAUCAUAAAUCUAAACGACUNNNGUGUGAAUUGCAGAAUCCCGUGAACCAUCGAGUCUUUGAACGCAAGUUGCGCCCGAAGCCUCGGCUGAGGGCACGCCUGCCUGGGUGUCACACAUCACUUUGCCUCCAAAACCUUCCCCCUUGUAACACUGUGGCGAUGGUUUGGAUGCGGAAGAUGGCCUCCCGUGACCACGAGGCACGGAUGGCCCAAAUAUUUGCUGGGGAAGCGAAGCGCCACGGCGUUCGGUGGUCGGCACAGCCCCUUGGGGCAAUGAAGCCCGUGGUAGCCGCGACAGUCCCCGGCGUGCGACCCUAAUCGUUAACCAACGCGACCUCAGGUCAGGCGGGGCUACCCGCUGAGUUUAAGCAUAUCAAUAAGCGGAGG
Molecule: ribosomal RNA, 699 nt
Filed under: Combretum hereroense
Lineage: Eukaryota; Viridiplantae; Streptophyta; Magnoliopsida; Myrtales; Combretaceae
Description: eukaryotic LSU rRNA
Rfam family: Eukaryotic small subunit ribosomal RNA (bases 1-87)
Source: RNAcentral